Molecule: ribosomal RNA, 515 nt
Filed under: Ceratitis punctata
Lineage: Eukaryota; Metazoa; Arthropoda; Insecta; Diptera; Tephritidae
Description: partial 16S ribosomal RNA
Rfam family: Bacterial large subunit ribosomal RNA (bases 391-515)
Source: RNAcentral
GUCUUUUUGAGUUAUUUUAAAAGUCUAACCUGCCCACUGAAUAAAUUUUUAAAUGGCCGCAGUAUUCUAACUGUGCAAAGGUAGCAUAAUCAUUAGUCUUUUAAUUGAAGGCUGGUAUGAAUGGUUGGACGAAGUAUAAGCUGUUUCAUAUAAAAUUAUAUUAGAAUUUUAUUUUUUAGUAAAAAAGCUAAAAUUUUAUUAAAAGACGAGAAGACCCUAUAAAUCUUUAUAUUUAAUUUUAUAUAAAUUUUUUUGAUUUAUUUUAUUUUUAUAUUUUUAAAUAUUUUGUUGGGGUGAUGUUAAAAUUUAAAAAACUUUUAAUAAAUAAAAAUCAUUAAUUUAUGAAUUAUUGAUCCAUUAUUAGUGAUUAAAAAAUCAAGUUACUUUAGGGAUAACAGCGUAAUUUUUUUUGAGAGUUCAUAUCGACAAAAAAGUUUGCGACCUCGAUGUUGGAUUAAGAUAAAUUUUUAGGUGUAGCCGUUUAAAUAUNAAGUCUGUUCGACUUUUAAAUUCUU